ACACAACUCCCUGCGUUGAUUAAUAGCAUGAUUUGAGCAGAAGCGAAGCGGACGAGUUCCAUCAUUUUUAAAAUCGUCACUUUAUCGCUGCGGCACGAUAAAAAUGAUUAGGAAACUCUAUUUUAUAUUCAAAGCAUUUUUCGACAUCGAGUAACCGGCUCGUAAAACGCGAAUACGCCCCACCAUUUCUUUGAGAUCGUCGUCCUUGUCGUUUCUUUCGCGGCUUCUGCUCCUCCAUUUGCCGCGGCACAAAGCACCAUUUUUUGCCGAAACUUCCUCAACAGUGGCUCCCUUGUCGCGCGAAAUUUCGUACCACCCACCGAGCGCGUGUUGCCUCCAAAUCUUAACAAGUGGAAGUUUGCAAUCACACAAAUUAUUAUUCAUAAAUGCGACCCUGACUUCGACCUGAACUCGAUUCGACUUAUACGAAGCUGCUUCCUCGCUCGGGACGGAGUAUCGUUCACAAUCAUCGAGGCAAUGAUAUCGAUGCUGACCGUGACACACGUAACACCUCGAUCUCACAGUGUUACGCAUUGUGAAAAAAUCCUGGCCGUCUCACACCGCCAGAAGCACACGCGUCAUCCUCGAAGCUCGCUGCUGGCGUCUCCGAAGUGGCACUUUUUUGCCGCGACGACGAGGACAGCGUAGCAUGUGCUCGGUCUGCUUGUAACAGCGCCGGAACGAUCAUGAGUGUGUCGACAGAAAAAGCGGAGAAUUUGACAAUUCACGAGGGGGAAAAAAAAGGACGGAUGGUUAACACGCUUCUUGAGAGGCCGUGGACAAAUUUAUUUGGUCGGCCGCUUCCUGUUCCGCAGUUUCGGCCGAUAGCAGUUGGCGUCGGUCCCACGGAAUCUCCCACGGCGACUAUCGACUCCGGAAAGGAGAAUUUUUAUUCAAUUGUAGAAUUCAUAUGAAAUCAUCCUCGAAAUCGCCGAACUCUUCUUCUGCGCAGACUACCGCGAAAUAAGUUGCAACAAUGUAACUGACAAUAAGCAUCAUUGGCGACAGACGUGGAGAACAUCCUAUCUCAUAUCUACAACUAAUGGACGAUAUUAAAACUCGUUUGUAUCUCAAACUGGCAACUUUAUUCGAUUGAUUUGUUGCAUGAUUGCGUAACACGAGCACGUUGCCUGAUGUGAAGGUUUACACUUGCCCUCGCGUCUCAUCCUCACUGACACACUUAUCCUUUGUGCGAUUAAAGAUCCGUUUUCGUACACGCAAAAAUUCGGCCAGCUGCCAUGUCGGUGUCGUUGAAAAAUGCGGGAUAAAAAAAAACAUUUAUAUUACAUCCGCCGUUUCCUACGAGGAGGGGACAAAUAGACAAAUGCUCCUUUUCACAUAAGACGCAACGAAUCGAAUCGAUAGGUAUCAAUGAAUGCAUACACAAACACACAAGCGUCCCAUGAUAAAAUACGAAUCUUAUUGAUCUCAUUAUUUCUAUAAUUUUGACAAUGGUUUUUUUUUUCCUUUUCUCACACAUGUUAGCGGUUAACACGUAUAUUAAUCUAAUAAAUACUGACAGAAUCGUAUCCGAAUGAUAAAUCAACACAUAUCCUUAAUUAAAAAAUAUCGCUGUUGUACUUCAUUCUAAAAUUAAAGACGAUUAGAGCUUGUCUUAUCAAAUCGACCGCCGGCCUGUUCUAUUUCCGAGUAGAUCCAGUGAUUGCUUGUUUCUUCCUAGGCAUCGAAACCCAUCAUGCAGGAUAAUAACGAGAUUCGAUUUAUUGAUGUAGAUGUGGAGAGCCAACAACUUGUAUCGAUUAUACGCACUCUUCUCUCUAUUGACGUCGACUAUAGAAGAUGCGAAAGCACCGUCGUGAUUGUUUUUUUCUUUUUUUUUUUACGCUGACUUCAACUUUACCACAUACAUACAUACAACGAUAAUCUCGUAAAGUGAAAUCACCAUUAGAAGUAAUGUAUCAAAUGUGAGAAAUGUUUACGAAACACUUACUUUACGUGACACGAAGUGUGGAAGAACACGAACGAGGUGAAAUAAGAUCAAAGUAUUUUUGAGCGUGACAAAACUGCGAUCGAUGUCGUCGAUGA
Linepithema humile (Argentine ant) is the source of this 2046-nucleotide long non-coding RNA. RefSeq lists it as uncharacterized. NCBI's taxonomy places the organism in Eukaryota, Metazoa, Arthropoda, Insecta, Hymenoptera, Formicidae. The record is from RefSeq and is a predicted model, not a curated record.